UCCCUGGUGGUUCAGAGGUUAAAACUUCUGCCUGCAAUGCGGGAGACCUGGGUUCGAUCCCUGGGUUGGGAA
RNAcentral lists this transfer RNA (72 nucleotides) under Ovis aries (sheep). It matches the Rfam family "tRNA". From Rfam's summary of the family: Transfer RNA (tRNA) molecules are approximately 80 nucleotides in length. Their secondary structure includes four short double-helical elements and three loops (D, anti-codon, and T loops). Lineage: Eukaryota; Metazoa; Chordata; Mammalia; Artiodactyla; Bovidae. The record is from Rfam by way of RNAcentral.